This 211-nucleotide ribosomal RNA is filed under the name uncultured archaeon. RNAcentral's name for it is "partial 16S ribosomal RNA". It matches the Rfam family "Archaeal small subunit ribosomal RNA", at positions 462 to 673 of the family's 1478-position model. The record is from RNAcentral.
UAGCCACGGAAUACCCGCUCUCCGAGUGGUGGGGACGCUUAUUGGGCCUAAAGCAUCCGUAGCUGGCUGGGCAAGUCCCCCUGUUAAAUCCAGCGAUUUAAUCGUUGGACUGCGGGGGAUACUGUCCGGCUAGGGGGCGGGAGAGGCCGACGGUAUUUCCGGGGUAGGGGUGAAAUCCUAUAAUCCCGGGAGGACCACCAGUGGCGAAGGC